GUACUGUUGAAGUUGUCUGGUCCAACACUUUCUGAACUGUCAAUGACAAAUAUUAGUUCCAGCGGUGUUACUCUACAUCUGAUACCGCAACCACAUAUUUCAUUGAUAAGUCUUAUGACUUCUUCUCUCGAAAGACCAGGUUCACCUUUUCUUCCCCAAGCUCCCUUUGGUCCUGGAGGUCCUGGGUCUCCCAUCUCUCCUUUGGCACCUCUGCUUCCUGGAUCACCUUUA
This 231-nucleotide long non-coding RNA is filed under the name Gallus gallus (chicken). Lineage: Eukaryota; Metazoa; Chordata; Aves; Galliformes; Phasianidae. The record is from RNAcentral.